CCUACGGGAGGCAGCAGUGAGGAAUAUUGGUCAAUGGGCGCGAGUCUGAACCAGCCAAGUCGCGUGAGGGAAGACGGCCCUAUGAAUUGUAAACUUCUUUUGUACGGGAGCAAACGCAGCUACGCGUAGCUGUCUGAAAGUAUCCGACGAAUAAGCAUCGGCUAACUCCGUGCCAGCAGCCGCGGUAAUACGGAGGAUUCAAGCGUUAUCCGGAUUUAUUGGGUUUAAAGGGUGCGGCGGCGGUCGGAUAAGUUAGCGGGGAAAUUUGGGGGCUCAACUUCGGCAGUGCCGUUGAUACUGGUUUGCUAGAGUGGAGUAGCGGUAGGCGGAAUGCAUGGUGUAGCGGUGAAAUGCAUAGAGAUCAUACAGAACACCGAUUGCGAAGGCAGCAUACCAGGGCACAUCUGACGUUGAUGCACGAAAGUGUGGGGAGCAAACAGGAUUAGAUACCCGGGUAGUC
RNAcentral lists this ribosomal RNA (460 nucleotides) under uncultured bacterium. RNAcentral's name for it is "partial 16S ribosomal RNA". It matches the Rfam family "Bacterial small subunit ribosomal RNA", at positions 338 to 795 of the family's 1533-position model. The record is from RNAcentral.